UUAAUAUUUCCUUCUCUGGGGAGUUGACUUCCCUCAAAUUUGUACAGGUCUGUGAUUUUAUGAUUCAUACACAUCUUUCCUUCUAUCAGAUAAAGAAGAAAAAAUAUUUGAUAGAGAUAGGAUGAGCAGAAGACAUACUUGUACUGGAAGGAGAGAACAGAAAAAGAAGUGAAACAAAAGCAGUAUGCAAAUUAGGCAAGCAGAGAGGUAAUUUGACAGAUAAGGAAGGGAAAGGAAGACAAAGGAAGUCUUUGUAUCCGUUUCCCUUAUAUAGAAAGGAUGAGUAUCUACAAUGAAGCAGAAGACGAGAAGCUAUUUCCAUUUUUGUUGCCUCAUCAAUGUCUCUUCCACAGUGCUGCAAGUUUCACCGACCAGAUGAAUAAACAAUUUUAUUUGACAGUCACCCUCAUCACUGACAAUCUCAAAACGCUGGGAGCAAGAAACAAAGAAGGUCAUCGACCCACUCCUUAUCUCCAAUCCACAGAAGAGGAAAAUAACAUAAAUUGCCAAUCCUUCAUCUCAUCCCAUCAACAAAUUAGUUGAGCCUAUCUCCAUGAAGAAAUGCAAUGGCAUAGUAAAUGACGCCAAACAGAAACCAAGUCAUGAUGAAAGUAGCAGCAAAUAAUCUUACAUACAACUCCUGAACCUCAAAACAACCAAAGGAAUUGAAGUUCUCUGUAAGCAUGACUGCGAAGUUAGUAUGCACACUCAAUGAUGCACACUGUGCAAGAUAUCCAGAUAAUAAACCGGAAAAGGAGAUUCAAAAUCUUAGUGCUGUAGACAAGAACAAUAAAGAAAAGGAGAGAGCAGCUUAUUAGAAACACUUUUUGGAGAAACUAAUAUUGCAGAGAUAAAAAAGGAAAUGUAUCUGACAGAAUGACGUGAAAAUCAUCAUAAACAAAAUAUUUUAAAAACUAAUAUAUGACACAGCAAAUCAAGAGAAUUCACUGUCUUGCCAGAUUUUGGACAGAGAAAAAUGUCCCAGAAAUUUACAAGGAUGAAUUUUUCUCUCUUCUUCCCAGGUCUUGUUCUUCUUUAAUCUCUAAACUCAGCUGAUCAUGGGUGAUUCUCUAUUAACAAGUCACUGUAUGGAUCAGAAAUAUUUGGGGGGGGGAGGGUGAGAGGAUGUUGUUUCUUAUAUGACUAUCAUUCAUAAAUGUCUUUAUCAAUGAAAGGCCAAAACUUGGAAAGUGGUACAAUAUGAACCCACAGAGAGCUUAGAACAUUUUGCUUUCAAUAUUUGUGUAACUUUCUCAAAGCUACAUAUUAUGCUAGGAAUAACUACAGCUAGGGAAUUUUCACUGUGUUAACAGACGAAGAAUUUAAUUAAUAUCUUUCAAGAAGAGGUAAUAAUCUGAA
Crotalus tigris (Tiger rattlesnake) is the source of this 1359-nucleotide long non-coding RNA. RefSeq lists it as uncharacterized. The record is from RefSeq and is a predicted model, not a curated record. NCBI's taxonomy places the organism in Eukaryota, Metazoa, Chordata, Lepidosauria, Squamata, Viperidae. The transcript has 3 exons.